AUGGGCGCAGCCUGAUGCAGCCACGCCGCGUGAGGGAUGACGGCCUUCGGGUUGUAAACCUCUUUCAGCAAGGAAGAAGGGGAUGUGAUGGUUCCUGUCGAAGAAUCACCUGCUAACUACAUGACACCACCCCCAGUAAUACGUAAGGCGCAGGCGUUGUCCGGAAGUAUUGGGCGUUAAUAGCUCUUACGGGGCUUGUCGCGUCGGAUGUGAAAUCGCGGGGCUUAACCCCAGGUCUGCAUUCUAUACCUGCAAGCUGCAGUGUGGUAGGGGAGAUCGGAAUUCCUGGUGUAGCGGUGAAAUGCGCAGAUAUCAGGAGGAACGCCGGUGGAUCUGGCGGAUCUCUGGUGGAUUACUGACGCUGAUGAGCGAAAACGUGGGGAGCGUGCGGAUUAGAUACCCUGGUAGUCCACGCCGUAAACGUUGGGAACUAGGUGUUGGCGACAUUCCACGUCGUCUGUGCCCUUGCUAACGCAUUUUCUUCCCCGCCUGGGGAGUACGGCCCGCCUGCUAAAACUCAAAGGAAUUGACGGGGGCCCGCACAUUGAGCGGAGCCUGUGGCUUAAUUCGACCAUGCGCUUUAAACCUUACCAACGCUUGACAUAUACCGUAAAGUGGUCAAGAUAAUGCCCCCCUUGAGAUCGAUAUACGCGUGGUGCAUGUCUGACAUCAGCUCUUGUCGUGAGAUGUCGGGUUAAGUCGCGCAACGAUCGCAACCCUUGCUCUGUGUUGGCAGCAUGCCCUUCUUGGUGAUGGCGACUCGGCCGAGACUGCCGAGGUCAACUCGAAUGAUAGUGUGGACGACGUUGAGUCUUCCUGCCACUUAUGUCUUGCGCUGCACACAUGCUACCAUGCCCGGUACAAUGAGCUGCAAUGCCAUGAGGCAGAUCGCAUCUCAAAAGCAGGUCUCAAUUCAUAUUGUAGUCUGCAACGCAACCCCAUGAACUCCGACUUGAUAGUAGUCUCACAUCAACUUUGCUACCGUAAAUACGUUCCGAGACGUUUUCAGACGUCUGUCACGUCACGAAAGUCCGUAACAACUGGAGUCGGGUGGACGAACGCCAUUUUGGAAGGAGCUGUCCAACUAGCGACUUGGCGAUUGUGACAAG
This 1109-nucleotide ribosomal RNA is filed under the name Streptomyces argenteolus. RNAcentral describes it as "bacterial SSU rRNA". It matches the Rfam family "Bacterial small subunit ribosomal RNA", at positions 371 to 1484 of the family's 1533-position model. Lineage: Bacteria; Bacillati; Actinomycetota; Actinomycetes; Kitasatosporales; Streptomycetaceae. The record is from RNAcentral.